GACAGAGGAUGCAAGCGUUAUCCGGAAUGAUUGGGCGUAAAGCGUCUGUAGGUGGCUUUUUAAGUCCUCCGUCAAAUCCCAGGGCUCAACCCCGGACAGGCGGUGGAAACUGACAAGCUGGAGUACGGUAGGGGCAGAGGGAAUUUCCGGUGGAGCGGUGAAAUGCAUUGAGAUCGGAAAGAACACCAACGGCGAAAGCACUCUGCUGGGCCGACACUGACACUGAGAGACGAAAGCUAGGGGAGCAAAUGGG
Molecule: ribosomal RNA, 253 nt
Filed under: uncultured bacterium
Lineage: Bacteria
Description: partial 16S ribosomal RNA
Rfam family: Bacterial small subunit ribosomal RNA
Source: RNAcentral